This is a small nucleolar RNA of Osmerus eperlanus (European smelt), 134 nucleotides long. RefSeq annotates it as U8 small nucleolar RNA. The transcript has a single exon. Lineage: Eukaryota; Metazoa; Chordata; Actinopteri; Osmeriformes; Osmeridae. The record is from RefSeq and is a predicted model, not a curated record.
UUGUCAGUGAGGAACAUCCUUACCUGUUGCUUCAUUCGUGAAGCAUCAGAACAUGAUGAUUGGACGAGGAUGAGGAAUGAUUAAUCUCACCCGCUGCUCAGGGACCUGCAACACUCUGAUCAUCCCAAUCUGAU